RNAcentral lists this long non-coding RNA (332 nucleotides) under Capsella rubella. RNAcentral's name for it is "long non-coding RNA (CRUB_LNC003358)". The record is from RNAcentral. Lineage: Eukaryota; Viridiplantae; Streptophyta; Magnoliopsida; Brassicales; Brassicaceae.
AGACAGUAAAAUAUUGGACAGAGAUGAUGUGUCGACCAAUACACACAACAACAACAAAAAAAAAAAAAGAAGAAAGAAGAUAUCUCUCAUUUCCAACUUUCAAAAAAAAAAAAAAAAAAAACUCAAUCAAACAUAUUCUAACAAGUGAAGUUGCAUUUGUUUUUGGCACAAAAUUCAUCAUAAAAAUUGUAAUUAAGCUGGGAUAUUCGGGGAAAAAAUCUAGUAAUGGCAUAUCUUUGAUGAUUUACUUAUUACUAAAACACAGUAGAGACCAUUCAAUACACUUUUUUAUUUUAGUGGGAUGUGUCUAAAAAAAACCCGAGAGAAAAUCC